RNAcentral lists this RNase P RNA (362 nucleotides) under marine eukaryotic metagenome. Its description in RNAcentral is "Bacterial RNase P class A". It matches the Rfam family "Bacterial RNase P class A". Rfam says of the family: Ribonuclease P (RNase P) is a ubiquitous endoribonuclease, found in archaea, bacteria and eukarya as well as chloroplasts and mitochondria. The record is from RNAcentral.
GUGGACCGGAUGGUCGCUGGUUCAUUUUAUGAACGAGAGGAAAGUCCGGGCUUCACAGAGCACGAUGGUCGGUAACACCGACCGGCCGUAAGGUCAGGGAUAGUGCAACAGAAAGUAAACCGCCCGCUUGCGGGUAAGGGUGAAACGGUGAGGUAAGAGCUCACCAGCAUGUCAGGUGACUGAUGUGGCUAGGCAAACCCCAUUGGAAGCAAGGCCAAGCAGGAAAGAAGAUGGUUUACCAUCCGGGAGUAGCUCGCUCUCGUCGAUUUCCGGGUAGGCUGCUUGAGGUGGCAAGCAAUUGUCGUCCUAGAUGAAUGACCAUCGUCACUUCGGUGAUGACAGAACCCGGCUUAUGGUCCACC